RNAcentral lists this ribosomal RNA (440 nucleotides) under uncultured bacterium. Its description in RNAcentral is "partial 16S ribosomal RNA". It matches the Rfam family "Bacterial small subunit ribosomal RNA", at positions 338 to 795 of the family's 1533-position model. The record is from RNAcentral.
CCUACGGGAGGCAGCAGUGGGGGAUAUUGCACAAUGGGGGAAACCCUGAUGCAGCGACGCCGCGUGUGGGAAGACGGUCUUCUGGAUUGUAAACCACUGUCCCCAGGGACGAAAAUGACGGUACCUGGGGAGGAAGCUCCGGCUAACUACGUGCCAGCAGCCGCGGUAAUACGUAGGGAGCAAGCGUUGUCCGGAAUUACUGGGUGAAAAGGGAGCGUAGGCGGGGAUGCAAGUUGGGUGUCAAAACUACCGGCUCAACCGAUAGUCGCACUCAAAACUGCAACUCUUGAGUGAAGUAGAGGCAGGCGGAAUUCCUAGUGUAGCGGUGAAAUGCGUAGAUAUUAGGAGGAACACCAGUGGCGAAGGCGGCCUGCUGGGCUUUUACUGACGCUGAGGCUCGAAAGUGUGGGGAGCAAACAGGAUUAGAUACCCCUGUAGUC